RNAcentral lists this ribosomal RNA (492 nucleotides) under uncultured bacterium. Its description in RNAcentral is "partial 16S ribosomal RNA". It matches the Rfam family "Bacterial small subunit ribosomal RNA", at positions 29 to 507 of the family's 1533-position model. The record is from RNAcentral.
AGUGAACGCUGGCGGUAGGCCUAACACAUGCAAGUCGAACGGCAGCACAGUAAGAGCUUGCUCUUACGGGUGGCGAGUGGCGGACGGGUGAGGAAUACAUCGGAACCUACUUUUUCGUGGGGGAUAACGUAGGGAAACUUACGCUAAUACCCCAUACGACCUACGGGUGAAAGCAGGGGAUCUUCGGACCUUGCGCGAUUGAAUGAGCCGAUGUCGGAUUAGCUAGUUGGCGGGGUAAAGGCCCACCAAGGCGACGAUCCGUAGCUGGUCUGAGAGGAUGAUCAGCCACACUGGAACUGAGACACGGUCCAGACUCCUACGGGAGGCAGCAGUGGGGAAUAUUGGACAAUGGGCGCAAGCCUGAUCCAGCCAUACCGCGUGGGUGAAGAAGGCCUUCGGGUUGUAAAGCCCUUUUGUUGGGAAAGAAAAGCAGCAGGUUAAUACCCCGCUGUUCUGACGGUACCCAAAGAAUAAGCACCGGCUAACUUCGUG